CAGUAGGGAAUCUUCCACAAUGGGCGAAAGCCUGUUGGAGCAACGCCGCGUGUGUGAUGAAGGGUUUCGGCUCGUAAAACACUGUUGUAAGAGAAGAAUGACAUUGAGAGUAACUGUUCAAUGUGUGACGGUAUCUUACCAGAAAGGAACGGCUAAAUACGUGCCAA
RNAcentral lists this ribosomal RNA (167 nucleotides) under uncultured bacterium. RNAcentral describes it as "partial 16S ribosomal RNA". It matches the Rfam family "Bacterial small subunit ribosomal RNA", at positions 352 to 511 of the family's 1533-position model. The record is from RNAcentral.